Molecule: ribosomal RNA, 500 nt
Filed under: uncultured bacterium
Lineage: Bacteria
Description: partial 16S ribosomal RNA
Rfam family: Bacterial small subunit ribosomal RNA
Source: RNAcentral
AUUGAACGCUGGCGGCAGGCCUAACACAUGCAAGUCGAGCGGUGAGAGGUAGCUUGCUACUGAUCUUAGCGGCGGACGGGUGAGUAAUGCUUAGGAAUCUGCCUAUUGGUGGGGGACAACAUUUCGAAAGGAAUGCUAAUACCGCAUACGUCCUACGGGAGGAAGCAGGGGAUCUUCGGACCUUGCGCUAAUAGAUGAGCCUAAGUCGGCUUAGCUAGUUGGUGGGGUAAAGGCUUACCAAGGCGACGAUCUGUAGCGGGUCUGAGAGGAUGACCGGCCACACUGGGACUGAGACAAGGCCCAAACUCCUACGGGAGGCAGCAGUAGGGAAUAUUGGGCAAUGGGCGAAAGUCUGAUCGAGCAAUGCCGCGUGUGUGAAGAAGGCUUUCGGAUUGUAAAGCACUUUUGUCCGGAAAGAACAAGCACGGGUUAAUCCCUGGAGUCGAUGACGGUACCGAAAGAAAAAGGACCGGCUAACUACGUGCCAGCAGCCGCCGUAA